RNAcentral lists this long non-coding RNA (415 nucleotides) under Brassica napus (rape). RNAcentral's name for it is "long non-coding RNA (BNAP_LNC011511)". Lineage: Eukaryota; Viridiplantae; Streptophyta; Magnoliopsida; Brassicales; Brassicaceae. The record is from RNAcentral.
UGGGUUUGCAUCGUUCUUCUGCCGGAGAACACGAGAAGCGACGGAGGAGGCGCCUUCAGGACAGAGAGAGAGACGUCGUCUGUGGUGGGAUUGGAACCUUCUUGUGACGGAACAAAAGAAGCGUUAUCCUUGGUGAUGGGUUUCGAUCGGUGGAGAAGACGGAGAAGACGGAGAAGACGGAGGAGACGCCAUGAAGAGCGGGAGAAUCGUCGUCUUCGUGAUGGGUUUCGAUCCCUCCUCCGUCACGGAGAAGAGGAGAAGAUGAAAACGAACGCGAGACGGAGGAUCAGUAUGGAGGAUCGGUGUUGAGGAUCUGUGUGGAAGAUCGGUGGUGGGUUUGGAUCAAUCGUCGGUUUCGACUUUCUUUGGACGGAGAACACGAGAAGACAAGAAGUGAGAGGAGGGAAGAAAGAAC